RNAcentral lists this unclassified non-coding RNA (291 nucleotides) under Hevea brasiliensis (rubber tree). Lineage: Eukaryota; Viridiplantae; Streptophyta; Magnoliopsida; Malpighiales; Euphorbiaceae. The record is from RNAcentral.
AUAAUAAUAAUAAUAAUAAUAGAAGGCAUUAUCGCUAAUUCUUUCUUAUAUAAAAAACUUUUAACUGCUAUAACAUGCACAAUAUUGAUACAUCAAUAAGAUAAAAGCUAGCUGCCAAAAUCAGCUUGAAUUGGCUUAAGAACAGAAACUAAUAGGAUUUAUCCAUUUCAAACUAAUUGGAAUCCUUAAUCAGAUUUUAUAGAUAGCUAAAGAUAUGGAAAAUUAAAUAUAAUCCUUAAAAUCCAACUUCUUGAAUCUAAAUAGAACCAAGCAAAUGAAAACAUCCAAACU